UCACCAGGAAAAGGAGAUGUAAUCUGUAAA
RNAcentral lists this non-coding RNA (30 nucleotides) under Homo sapiens (human). Lineage: Eukaryota; Metazoa; Chordata; Mammalia; Primates; Hominidae. The record is from RNAcentral.